Molecule: long non-coding RNA, 488 nt
Filed under: Mus musculus (house mouse)
Lineage: Eukaryota; Metazoa; Chordata; Mammalia; Rodentia; Muridae
Description: long non-coding RNA chr2:16303145-16303633
Source: RNAcentral
GUGUCAGCUAGUCUUGCUGGCUCUGACUAUGGUUUGUCCCUCCUGCAAUCCUGUGUGUCCAUACUCCUGGGAGACCAGUUCUCUCUGUGUGGAAUUUGUUUAUGAAGAGCUGUGGUACACGGUCCGCUUUAGGGUUCAGACAGAAACCAGGAGGAUCCUGUCCCCAGCUGUUCCUUGAUUCCUAUGUCCUAAUGGCUCUGGGGGAGUUCCUCUUGGGCCAAGAAUUUGAGCAGAGGUGUUGAUUUUACCUGUGCCUGCAGGUAUGUGUAUAUGUAGUUCUCCAAGUGGUAUUUGUAUAUGUAGUUCUGUGGCACAGGAUCAGCUCCAGACCCAGAUGGAAACCAGAAGUCUCCUGUCCCAGGCUGCUCCUUGGUUCUUGUGUCCUGAGGGUUCUGGGUGGAUCCCUCUGAGCAGAAAUGGUGGUCUUACCUGUACUCAUAGGCUUGUCUGCACUCCUGAGAAGCUUGCUCUAGUUGCAGCAGUAUUUG